GUCCACGCCCUAAACGAUGAUCACUCGAUGUGUGCGAUACACUGUACGCGUCUGAGCGAAAGCAUUAAGUGAUCCACCUGGUGAGUACGACCGCAAGGUUGAAACUCAAAGGAAUUGACGGGGGCCCCGCACAAGCGGAGGAGCAUGUGGUUUAAUUCGAUGAUACGCGAGGAACCUUACCAGGGCUUGAAAGUUAGUGAAGGAUGUGGAAACAUGUCCGUCAGCAAUGACACGAAACUAGGUGCUGCAUGGCUGUCGU
This 259-nucleotide ribosomal RNA is filed under the name uncultured bacterium. Its description in RNAcentral is "partial 16S ribosomal RNA". It matches the Rfam family "Bacterial small subunit ribosomal RNA", at positions 793 to 1055 of the family's 1533-position model. The record is from RNAcentral.